RNAcentral lists this small nuclear RNA (107 nucleotides) under Aotus nancymaae (Ma's night monkey). Lineage: Eukaryota; Metazoa; Chordata; Mammalia; Primates; Aotidae. The record is from RNAcentral.
GUGCUCACUUCGGCAGCACAUAUACUAAAACUGGAACGAUACAGAGAAGAUUAGCAAGGCCCCUGUGCAAGGAUGACACGCAAAUUCGUGAAGCAUUCCAUAUUUUU